This 402-nucleotide ribosomal RNA is filed under the name uncultured Hyphomicrobiales bacterium. Its description in RNAcentral is "bacterial SSU rRNA". It matches the Rfam family "Bacterial small subunit ribosomal RNA", at positions 355 to 774 of the family's 1533-position model. The record is from RNAcentral. Lineage: Bacteria; Pseudomonadati; Pseudomonadota; Alphaproteobacteria; Hyphomicrobiales.
UGGGGAAUAUUGGACAAUGGGCGAAAGCCUGAUCCAGCCAUGCCGCGUGAGUGAUGAAGGCCCUAGGGUUGUAAAGCUCUUUCAACGGUGAAGAUAAUGACUGUAACCGUAGAAGAAGCCCCGGCUAACUUCGUGCCAGCAGCCGCGGUAAUACGAAGGGGGCUAGCGUUGUUCGGAAUUACUGGGCGUAAAGCGCACGUAGGCGGAUUGUUUAGUUAGGGGUGAAAUCCCAGGGCUCAACCCUGGAACUGCCUUUAAUACUGGCGAUCUAGAGUCCGAGAGAGGUGAGUGGAAUUCCGAGUGUAGAGGUGAAAUUCGUAGAUAUUCGGAGGAACACCAGUGGCGAAGGCGGCUCACUGGCUCGGUACUGACGCUGAGGUGCGAAAGCGUGGGGAGCAAACA